AAGCCUACCAUACUUUUCUAUAUUCUGGAUGUAAGAAAAGCUUACUUGAAAACAUACUAUAAAAUCCUACUUUUAGAACGUAAAAGAUUACUAAUGUGUGUUUAUGUAGGGGAAAUUAAGUAAACUAAAAUAUCUAAUCCACACUAUCGUUACCCAUAUUAUAAACACUUAACUACAGAAUUCUUACCUGCUUCCACUUGGGGAAAAGCAU
This 211-nucleotide unclassified non-coding RNA is filed under the name Hevea brasiliensis (rubber tree). The record is from RNAcentral. Lineage: Eukaryota; Viridiplantae; Streptophyta; Magnoliopsida; Malpighiales; Euphorbiaceae.